UAGGGAAUCUUCCGCAAUGGACGAAAGUCUGACGGAGCAACGCCGCGUGAGUGAAGAAGGAUUUCGGUUCGUAAAACUCUGUUGUUAGGGAAGAAAAAAUGAAUAGAAACAAAAACAAAAGGAAAGGGAACCAAACCAGAAAGCAACGGCAAACAAGGUGCCAGCAGCCGCGGUAAUACGUAGGUGGCAAGCGUUGUCCGGAAUUAUUGGGCGUAAAGCGCGCGCAGGUGGUUUAGAAAGUCUGAUGUGAAAGCCCACGGCUCAACCGUGGAGGGUCAUUGGAAACUAAUAAACUUGAGUGCAGGAGAGAAAAGUGGAAUUCCUAGUGUAGCGGUGAAAUGCGUAGAGAUUAGGAGGAACACCGGUGGCGAAAGCGGCUUUUUGGCCUGCAACUGACACUGAGGCGCGAAAGCGUGGGGAGCAAACAGG
This 429-nucleotide ribosomal RNA is filed under the name Verrucomicrobiota bacterium. RNAcentral's name for it is "Verrucomicrobia bacterium partial 16S ribosomal RNA". It matches the Rfam family "Bacterial small subunit ribosomal RNA", at positions 355 to 776 of the family's 1533-position model. The record is from RNAcentral. Lineage: Bacteria; Pseudomonadati; Verrucomicrobiota.